UAGUAAAUAUUUGUACAAUAGCUACAAACAGCAGCCCCCUUGAAAGGUAUGAAGCCUUUUGCUUGUAUGGUUGUUCUAAGGAUCCUUGGAGAUGGCC
This 97-nucleotide small nucleolar RNA is filed under the name Sciurus vulgaris (Eurasian red squirrel). Its description in RNAcentral is "Small nucleolar RNA SNORA70 (ENSSVLG00005015280.1)". It matches the Rfam family "Small nucleolar RNA SNORA70". From Rfam's summary of the family: snoRNA U70 seems to be exclusive to mammals and is a member of the H/ACA class of snoRNA which contain H (ANANNA) and ACA box motifs. Lineage: Eukaryota; Metazoa; Chordata; Mammalia; Rodentia; Sciuridae. The record is from Rfam by way of RNAcentral.